Candoia aspera is the source of this 2722-nucleotide long non-coding RNA. RefSeq lists it as uncharacterized. Lineage: Eukaryota; Metazoa; Chordata; Lepidosauria; Squamata; Candoiidae. The transcript is spliced from 2 exons. The record is from RefSeq and is a predicted model, not a curated record.
CGGGGAGUUUAGCCGCGCCCCUCCGUCUCUGGUUGGUGCGAGGUCUUCCGAAGGCGUCCUCUCCCCCUUCGCCUCCUUUCCUGCUCUCCCCCCACCGUGGAAGGAGUGAAUUGGGGGCCGAGGUGAAGUCUCGGGGUCCCGCCCACCUGUUUUUCUUUCGCAUCCGAAGGCCGAGCCGUGUAAGGCAAUGGCGGGGGUUUGCCGCAGGUUGACACCGGCGGGGAGAGGAAGGGUCGACUGACGCGCCCCCUUCUUCCCCAACCGGCCUGCCUUCCUUCCUUCCUCGCGAUCGCGUGCGCGCCUCCAACGUCUGUAUGCAAACAAACGAGGGCAAGAUUUGGCCAGCUCCUCAUCUCCUCCGCCGAUUGGUGGAAGACGGGGCGGCAAGAGAGGCGUUCUCGAGCGGAGGCCCGGCGAGGAGGCGCGCCUGGUGGAGAAAAGGGGAAACUGCUUUGUCGAAAGAAAAACUGAAGAAAGACAACUCCCAGGUUAAUGCCACCAGUACAGAUGGAGCCAUGCACUGGAGCAGAGACAACCUUUUUGUUCCACUUUCCUAUGCUAAAAAAAAACACUAAAGCAAAAAAGGACAUGGCAUGGAGAGUCUUCCCCAGAGGAGAUCAUUGUUGAUGUCAGCUUGGCAUUUUGACUGAACUCCUUCUACACUACAGUCAGUGUGGGGUCAUCCUUGGGGAAAUUGCAACAUGUUGGACUUUCUGAUCAGCACCAGGGAACUGGCUCUUGAAAUUACAAAGAAUCUCCUCUCCACCACUCUGGUGGGUGUUCAGUCUUCAGGUGAGAGAUGCCCUUCAUUCACUACUGAAUUUUAUUUCUUUAUUUUUAUUUUAUUACUCAUAUUUAGCCACCGCCCAUCUCCCCCAGAAGAGGGACUCUGGGCAGUUUACAAUAAAAUCCCACAUAAAACACAGACAUUAAAACCACAUAAACAAUUAUAAUAAAACACAAUAAAUAAAUAAAAUCCAAGAGAAAUGUAAAAUCCAGGCUGGUGGGAGGGACUCUAGGGUGCGAGCCAUCCCCAAGAAUGGCUAUUCACUUUCCCGCCCCAGGCGAGACGGCAAAACCAGGUCUUCAGGGCCUUCCAGAAGGUCAGGAGAGAAGGGGCCUGCCUCACCUCCGUGGGCAAGAUAUUCCAGAGAGCAGGGGCCACCACAGAGAAGGCCCGCUUCCUGGACCCCGCCAGAUGAAAUUCUCUUAUGGACAGGGUCCAUAACAUCAAAUUUUGCUUUUGAUGUCUUUGUGAAGCAAAACAAAUUUGACCUGAGCUCUGUGGACCUCAAGAAAGCUGCAAAAGAAAAGAGGAUCUGUGCAAUGCAAUUCUAAAUUUUAAAUGCCAUGCAAUUUAAAGGCAGGCUCAAUGAUAAUGAAGUGGAGCACGCUGGAUAAAAACACACCAUAUAGUGAGCCUGGAUCGUUAGGCUGUAAUGGCUGUUACUACUUGGGGAAUAGAUCCUGCCACUAUUAUGGAAACUCAUCAGAAAACAAGCAUCGCUAUGCCAUGUAAACAAAAUGAGGCUUUGCUCAGAGCAUUGUUGUUUGUUGAUUCCCAAACUGAGGAUUAUUGACAUGUAAUGUCAUGAAUGUGUUCGGUAUCUGAGGGACACCUUUGAUCCAGAUUGAAUUAUAUAUAGAGUGGACCACAGUGGGCAUUCAGUUUGUCAGAUCCAAUCAAUCUCAUUGGGUUAACACUGGAUGCAACCAAAUCUCAGUUAAGCCAUAAAUGUCCUUCACUCGGGUGGGACAUUGUUGGGGAGAACUUCUCUGCUGCUUCUUAGCAGGGAUACCUGUGCUAUGGAAAAGCCUUCUGCUGGAAAUCAAAUUGGCCUCUUCAUUCAAGGGCAUCCAUUGGGAAGGUCAAAAAGUCAAGAAGGCAUCUACAACACAUAUAAAAAAAGAUGUGGCUUCUGUCAUGUAGACAUGGCCAUCAUUUGACUUUUUCACCUACCCCGUGGAUCCCCCUACCUAUUGUUGGCUUUUCAUAAGCAUUUAAACAUGGAAUUGUUUUAGAGAACCUAUGGAAGAUGAUAUGAUGUCCUGGAUUAUGUUGUUAUGUUGUGUUGUGUUAUGUUUUUUUUAAUCAUAUAUAUUAUGGAUGUUUUAGUGAACUUUUGUGAGUAUUUUAUUAUAAUGUUGCUGUAUGGCUGUUGAUAACAGCUCACACUCUCUGGAUAGUGGCAGGUAUAAUUCUAAAAAAUAAUUAAAUUUACACCAGCCCCAGAAGCAGGGGAAGCAGAUGACACAGCCUGGUCUCAGCACUGAACACAAACAAAGGCAAAACAUGCUAGAAGUGAGGAUGGGGUUGGAAAAUGGGGUGGAGGUAACCACAUGGGCCAGAAAAUAAUCUAUAAAUAUAAAUCCCUGGGAGGUGGGAAAUUAUGACCUCAUACUGUUGUCAUGCAACCAGGUUCCCUGAGGGUGCUCUUUGUAAAAGAGCAUUGAAACUGGUCUAUAGAGAGAGUUGAAUAUAUUGCACACCAUGAACACAAAGGAAAUAAAGGGUGAAGUACAGUGUUAAGUUAGACGCUUUGAAGGGAUCCCUCCUCAAACUCGCCCAAUUAAAAUUGCAACUGCUGUUUUAGAAAAGCUGCAAGGGUUGAGUUCCACUUGUUGGAAUAUUCUGUUGUUCCCCUUUUAUUGUUGUGAAGGUAAACCACUCUAAUGCUUUCCCCCUUUUUACCUCUGCAAAUAAAAGCAUGCAUGCAGAAGG